GAUGAACGCUGGCGGCGUGCCUAAUACAUGCAAGUCGAGCGAACAGAUAAGGAGCUUGCUCCUUUGACGUUAGCGGCGGACGGGUGAGUAACACGUGGGUAACCUACCUAUAAGACUGGGAUAACUUCGGGAAACCGGAGCUAAUACCGGAUAAUAUUUCGAACCGCAUGGUUCGAUAGUGAAAGAUGGUUUUGCUAUCACUUAUAGAUGGUCCCGCGCCGUAUUAGCUAGUUGGUAAGGUAACGGCUUACCAAGGCGACGAUACGUAGCCGACCUGAGAGGGUGAUCGGCCACACUGGAACUGAGACACGGUCCAGACUCCUACGGGAGGCAGCAGUAGGGAAUCUUCCGCAAUGGGCGAAAGCCUGACGGAGCAACGCCGCGUGAGUGAUGAAGGUCUUCGGAUCGUAAAACUCUGUUAUUAGGGAAGAACAUACGUGUAAGUAACUGUGCACGUCUUGACGGUACCUAAUCAGAAAGCCACGGCUAACUACGUG
This 497-nucleotide ribosomal RNA is filed under the name uncultured bacterium. RNAcentral's name for it is "partial 16S ribosomal RNA". It matches the Rfam family "Bacterial small subunit ribosomal RNA", at positions 28 to 507 of the family's 1533-position model. The record is from RNAcentral.